RNAcentral lists this ribosomal RNA (253 nucleotides) under uncultured bacterium. RNAcentral describes it as "partial 16S ribosomal RNA". It matches the Rfam family "Bacterial small subunit ribosomal RNA", at positions 524 to 776 of the family's 1533-position model. The record is from RNAcentral.
UACGGGGGGGGUAAGCGUUGUUCGGAAUUACUGGGCGUAAAGGGCUCGUAGGCGGCCAACUAAGUCAUACGUGAAAUCCCUCAGCUUAACUGGGGAACUGCGUGUGAUACUGGAUGGCUUGGAUUUGGGAGAGGGAUGCGGAAUUCCAGGUGUAGAGGUGAAAUUCGUAGAUAUCGGGAGGAACACCAGUGGCGAAGGCGGCGACCUGGACGGACACUGACGCUGAGACGCGAAAGCGUGGGGAGCAAACAGG